RNAcentral lists this ribosomal RNA (459 nucleotides) under uncultured bacterium. Its description in RNAcentral is "partial 16S ribosomal RNA". It matches the Rfam family "Bacterial small subunit ribosomal RNA", at positions 338 to 795 of the family's 1533-position model. The record is from RNAcentral.
CCUACGGGUGGCUGCAGUGAGGAAUAUUGGUCAAUGGCCGGAAGGCUGAACCAGCCAAGCCGCGUGAGGGAUGAAGGCGCAGAGCGUCGCAGACCUCUUUUGCCGGGGGACAAAAGGCCGGACGCGUCCGGGUCUGAGGGUACCCGGAGAAAAAGCAUCGGCUAACUCCGUGCCAGCAGCCGCGGUAAUACGGAGGAUGCGAGCGUUAUCCGGAUUUAUUGGGUUUAAAGGGUGCGUAGGCGGGCUGUUAAGUCAGCGGUAAAAUUUCGGGGCUCAACCCCGGCCUGCCGUUGAAACUGGCGGCCUGGAGUGGGCGAGAAGUAUGCGGAAUGCGUGGUGUAGCGGUGAAAGGCAUAGAUAUCACGCAGAACUCCGAUUGCGAAGGCAGCAUACCGGCGCCCUACUGACGCUGAGGCACGAAAGCGUGGGUAUCGAACAGGAUUAGAUACCCGAGUAGUC